Molecule: long non-coding RNA, 1143 nt
Organism: Lycium barbarum (goji berry)
Lineage: Eukaryota; Viridiplantae; Streptophyta; Magnoliopsida; Solanales; Solanaceae
Exons: 3
Source: RefSeq, a predicted model, not a curated record
AAAAAAAAGAUGACAAAAUAAGUCAUCUUUCCUAGAGAAAUUUCUAGAGAGGGCAUGUGCCCCUCACAUGACUAUGGGAAUUAUAUAUACAUGAAAGAGCUUACCAAGCAAGACCAAAUUGUCAUGAAAAUUCAAGAAAUUCCAAGAGCAAAAACUUAAAGGCCAUUCGGCCAUAGCUCCAAAAAUUUACCCCAUGGGAAUUGAUCAAGAAAAAUUAUUUCCUUCUAGUAUUCCAAGCAAGUUGAAGGCCCUAAUUAACAUGGAGUGAUUGUUGGAACAAGAAAGCUAUUUAUUCUUGCAAUCUCAAGCCCUAUCCAAGUUGGAGAAUUAAGUGAAAAAGAUUUUGGAGAAUUUGGAACUUGAAUUUGGAGGAGCGUAAGAAGCGGAAAAAGGUACACCCAAAGGAUGCGAAGUUAGCAUAGAAGAUGUUCCAGCGGAGUUGGUAGGCUCCACUUGUCCUGGAGUGCUGCCAAGUCAGAGUAUAUGUACUAUGACGCUAUGUUCGAGGUUAGAGACUUUGCAGACAGAGUCGUGGGUAUAGAGUGUCAGCUUUGUAGACGGCUUCGCCAGUCGAUAUGUUAUUAUGUCUCAUGUCACGGGUCCCACAUGAUGAUAGACUUUACUUAUGAAAAGAAAAAGAAAAAAAAAGGAUUGGAGAGCUUACUAUGUAUUUAUUUCUUAAUUGGUUCAAAAGAUUAUAUGUGUAAUAAGAGUCAGCGGGUUCGCUCGGCUCCGAAUAUGGGGUCGGGUGCCCAUCACACCCUAGUAAAGUCGGGGUGUGACAUUCCAGACGUCUUUUAAGCUCGAGUUCAGCUUCAAACAAUCAGUAACCAAGAAUUGUAUUCAUCAAAUCCGGAAUUUGAAGACCCAGAUCUGAAAGCUUCAAGUCGAAACUCGACGUCCUUAAUGGAGUUUUUGUUUACUGGUUCUACUCUCUUAAUCCACUAUUAUUAAUCAUGUUUUCAAUGUCGACAAUGUCACAAAUCCUAUAUAAUAUCGAAAAAGAUCCGUUUGAUUUGGUCGUUACAAUGAAGUUUCUUUGGGUUUGAAAUUUUGGAAAGUGGAGAAAUGAAAAAUACCCAAUUGAAGAAUAAUUAAAUCUUUUAAACUCAACACAAAGGAAAGCAAAAGGCACAAACUCAA